UCAAAGGCUCUUUUCAGAGCCACCCACUGUUUCAAAUGAAGAGUUG
Molecule: non-coding RNA, 46 nt
Organism: Dipodomys ordii (Ord's kangaroo rat)
Lineage: Eukaryota; Metazoa; Chordata; Mammalia; Rodentia; Heteromyidae
Source: Rfam